This 21-nucleotide unclassified non-coding RNA is filed under the name Mus musculus (house mouse). Its description in RNAcentral is "oocyte_clustered_small_RNA7956". The record is from RNAcentral. Lineage: Eukaryota; Metazoa; Chordata; Mammalia; Rodentia; Muridae.
UGAUUGGUGGGUAGUCGUAAU